CCCCUCUCAGGGUCACACUAGAAGAGUUUCCAAUAGUCUGCCAGUCUCGGCAACAGGAGGGAGAGUCAAGCAGAGGCCUACCCAUUCCAUUCCUAGCUUGGUCAGUGGCUAGCGAGUGGAAGGCAAUCUGCUACAAGU
This is a small nucleolar RNA of Tachyglossus aculeatus (Australian echidna), 138 nucleotides long. NCBI's taxonomy places the organism in Eukaryota, Metazoa, Chordata, Mammalia, Monotremata, Tachyglossidae. The record is from RefSeq and is a predicted model, not a curated record.